RNAcentral lists this ribosomal RNA (250 nucleotides) under uncultured bacterium. RNAcentral's name for it is "partial 16S ribosomal RNA". It matches the Rfam family "Bacterial small subunit ribosomal RNA", at positions 88 to 339 of the family's 1533-position model. The record is from RNAcentral.
GCGUCGAGUGGCGGACGGGUGAGUAACGCGUAGGAAUCUACCAAAUAGCGGGGGAUAGCCCGGAGAAAUCCGGAUUAAUACCGCAUAAUCUCUACGGAGUAAAGGAGGCCUCUAUUUAUAAGCUUUCACUAUUUGAUGAGCCUGCGUAAGAUUAGCUUGUUGAUGAGGUAAAAGCUCACCAAGGCGACGAUCUUUAGCUGGUCUGAGAGGGUGAUCAGCCACACUGGGACUGAGACACGGCCCAGACUCC